AUGCAGCGCUGUGCUCACCCCAUAGCAGUGCUGUGCUCACCCCAGUGCAGUGCUGUGCUCACCCCAGUGCAGUGCUGUGCUCACCCCAGUGCAGUGCUGUGCUCACCCCAGUGCAGUGCUGUGCUCACCCCAGUGCAGUGCUGUGCUCACCCCAGUGCAGUGCUGUGCUCACCCCAGUGCAGUGCUGUGCUCACCCCAGUGCAGUGCUGUGCUCACCCCAGUGCAGUGCUGUGCUCACCCCAGUGCAGUGCUGUGCUCACCCCAGUGCAGUGCUGUGCUCACCCCAGUGCAGUGCUGUGCUCACCCCAGUGCAGUGCUGUGCUCACCCCAGUGCAGUGCUGUGCUCACCCCAGUGCAGUGCUGUGCUCACCCCAGUGCAGUGCUGUGCUCACCCCAGUGCAGUGCUGUGCUCACCCCAGUGCAGUGCUGUGCUCACCCCAGUGCAGUGCUGUGCUCACCCCAGUGCAGUGCUGUGCUCACCCCAGUGCAGUGCUGUGCUCACCCCAGUGCAGUGCUGUGCUCACCCCAGUGCAGUGCUGUGCUCACCCCAGUGCAGUGCUGUGCUCACCCCAGUGCAGUGCUGUGCUCACCCCAGUGCAGUGCUGUGCUCACCCCAGUGCAGUGCUGUGCUCACCCCAGUGCAGUGCUGUGCUCACCCCAGUGCAGUGCUGUGCUCACCCCAGUGCAGUGCUGUGCUCACCCCAGUGCAGUGCUGUGCUCACCCCAGUGCAGUGCUGUGCUCACCCCAGUGCAGUGCUGUGCUCACCCCAGUGCAGUGCUGUGCUCACCCCAGUGCAGUGCUGUGCUCACCCCAGUGCAGUGCUGUGCUCACCCCAGUGCAGUGCUGUGCUCACCCCAGUGCAGUGCUGUGCUCACCCCAGUGCAGUGCUGUGCUCACCCCAGUGCAGUGCUGUGCUCACCCCAGUGCAGUGCUGUGCUCACCCCAGUGCAGUGCUGUGCUCACCCCAGUGCAGUGCUGUGCUCACCCCAGUGCAGUGCUGUGCUCACCCCAGUGCAGUGCUGUGCUCACCCCAGUGCAGUGCUGUGCUCACCCCAGUGCAGUGCUGUGCUCACCCCAGUGCAGUGCUGUGCUCACCCCAGUGCAGUGCUGUGCUCACCCCAGUGCAGUGCUGUGCUCACCCCAGUGCAGUGCUGUGCUCACCCCAGUGCAGUGCUGUGCUCACCCCAGUGCAGUGCUGUGCUCACCCCAGUGCAGUGCUGUGCUCACCCCAGUGCAGUGCUGUGCUCACCCCAGUGCAGUGCUGUGCUCACCCCAGUGCAGUGCUGUGCUCACCCCAGUGCAGUGCUGUGCUCACCCCAGUGCAGUGCUGUGCUCACCCCAGUGCAGUGCUGUGCUCACCCCAGUGCAGUGCUGUGCUCACCCCAGUGCAGUGCUGUGCUCACCCCAGUGCAGUGCUGUGCUCACCCCAGUGCAGUGCUGUGCUCACCCCAGUGCAGUGCUGUGCUCACCCCAGUGCAGUGCUGUGCUCACCCCAGUGCAGUGCUGUGCUCACCCCAGUGCAGUGCUGUGCUCACCCCAGUGCAGUGCUGUGCUCACCCCAGUGCAGUGCUGUGCUCACCCCAGUGCAGUGCUGUGCUCACCCCAGUGCAGUGCUGUGCUCACCCCAGUGCAGUGCUGUGCUCACCCCAGUGCAGUGCUGUGCUCACCCCAGUGCAGUGCUGUGCUCACCCCAGUGCAGUGCUGUGCUCACCCCAGUGCAGUGCUGUGCUCACCCCAGUGCAGUGCUGUGCUCACCCCAGUGCAGUGCUGUGCUCACCCCAGUGCAGUGCUGUGCUCACCCCAGUGCAGUGCUGUGCUCACCCCAGUGCAGUGCUGUGCUCACCCCAGUGCAGUGCUGUGCUCACCCCAGUGCAGUGCUGUGCUCACCCCAGUGCAGUGCUGUGCUCACCCCAGUGCAGUGCUGUGCUCACCCCAGUGCAGUGCUGUGCUCACCCCAGUGCAGUGCUGUGCUCACCCCAGUGCAGUGCUGUGCUCACCCCAGUGCAGUGCUGUGCUCACCCCAGUGCAGUGCUGUGCUCACCCCAGUGCAGUGCUGUGCUCACCCCAGUGCAGUGCUGUGCUCACCCCAGUGCAGUGCUGUGCUCACCCCAGUGCAGUGCUGUGCUCACCCCAGUGCAGUGCUGUGCUCACCCCAGUGCAGUGCUGUGCUCACCCCAGUGCAGUGCUGUGCUCACCCCAGUGCAGUGCUGUGCUCACCCCAGUGCAGUGCUGUGCUCACCCCAGUGCAGUGCUGUGCUCACCCCAGUGCAGUGCUGUGCUCACCCCAGUGCAGUGCUGUGCUCACCCCAGUGCAGUGCUGUGCUCACCCCAGUGCAGUGCUGUGCUCACCCCAGUGCAGUGCUGUGCUCACCCCAGUGCAGUGCUGUGCUCACCCCAGUGCAGUGCUGUGCUCACCCCAGUGCAGUGCUGUGCUCACCCCAGUGCAGUGCUGUGCUCACCCCAGUGCAGUGCUGUGCUCACCCCAGUGCAGUGCUGUGCUCACCCCAGUGCAGUGCUGUGCUCACCCCAGUGCAGUGCUGUGCUCACCCCAGUGCAGUGCUGUGCUCACCCCAGUGCAGUGCUGUGCUCACCCCAGUGCAGUGCUGUGCUCACCCCAGUGCAGUGCUGUGCUCACCCCAGUGCAGUGCUGUGCUCACCCCAGUGCAGUGCUGUGCUCACCCCAGUGCAGUGCUGUGCUCACCCCAGUGCAGUGCUGUGCUCACCCCAGUGCAGUGCUGUGCUCACCCCAGUGCAGUGCUGUGCUCACCCCAGUGCAGUGCUGUGCUCACCCCAGUGCAGUGCUGUGCUCACCCCAGUGCAGUGCUGUGCUCACCCCAGUGCAGUGCUGUGCUCACCCCAGUGCAGUGCUGUGCUCACCCCAGUGCAGUGCUGUGCUCACCCCAGUGCAGUGCUGUGCUCACCCCAGUGCAGUGCUGUGCUCACCCCAGUGCAGUGCUGUGCUCACCCCAGUGCAGUGCUGUGCUCACCCCAGUGCAGUGCUGUGCUCACCCCAUAGCAGUGCCCGCACACAUCCCUGCUCUCACACCGACGGCUGCCUUUUGUAUCCAAGGUUUUAUACAAUAAACCACUCCCAUGUGGGGAUCUGUGGGGUAUUUGUGGGGUGUCUGUGGGAUAUCUAUGGGGUACACGUGGUUUUGUUGGGCACGACCCCAGAGCCACCCUGCUCCAUAGGGUAUCCAUGGGGUAUCCAUGGGGUAUCUAUGGGAUACACGCCUUUCUGUGGGGUGGAGGCCUCAUAUCUGCCCUGUUCUUUGGGGUAUCUGUGGGGUAUCUAUGGGGUCUAUGGGGUAUCUGUGGGGUACACGUGUUUUUGCUGGGCAGGACCCUGGUGCCCCCCUGCUCCUUGA
This 3369-nucleotide long non-coding RNA is filed under the name Chrysolophus pictus (golden pheasant). Its description in RNAcentral is "lncRNA (ENSCPIG00010006915.1)". The record is from RNAcentral. Lineage: Eukaryota; Metazoa; Chordata; Aves; Galliformes; Phasianidae.